This 45-nucleotide non-coding RNA is filed under the name Schistosoma mansoni. Lineage: Eukaryota; Metazoa; Platyhelminthes; Trematoda; Strigeidida; Schistosomatidae. The record is from RNAcentral.
AUCCAGUUGAAGAGUCCCAAUUAGGACGAAACGUGCGUCUUGGAU